UGGAAGCGUCUGGAAAGGCGCGCGAUACAGGGUGACAGCCCCGUACACAAAAAUGCACAUGCUGUGAGCUCGAUGAGUAGGGCGGGACACGUGGUAUCCUGUCUGAAUAUGGGGGGACCAUCCUCCAAGGCUAAAUACUCCUGACUGACCGAUAGUGAACCAGUACCGUGAGGGAAAGGCGAAAAGAACCCCGGCGAGGGGAGUGAAAAAGAACCUGAAACCGUGUACGUACAAGCAGUGGGAGCACGCUUAGGCGUGUGACUGCGUACCUUUUGUAUAAUGGGUCAGCGACUUAUAUUCUGUAGCAAGGUUAACCGAAUAGGGGAGCCGAAGGGAAACCGAGUCUUAACUGGGCGUUAAGUUGCAGGGUAUAGACCCGAAACCCGGUGAUCUAGCCAUGGGCAGGUUGAAGGUUGGGUAACACUAACUGGAGGACCGAACCGACUAAUGUUGAAAAAUUAGCGGAUGACUUGUGGCUGGGGGUGAAAGGCCAAUCAAACCGGGAGAUAGCUGGUUCUCCCCGAAAGCUAUUUAGGUAGCGCCUCGUGAACUCAUCUCCGGGGGUAGAGCACUGUUUCGGCAAGGGGGUCAUCCCGACUUACCAACCCGAUGCAAACUGCGAAUACCGGAGAAUGUUAUCACGGGAGACACACGGCGGGUGCUAACGUCCGUCGUGAAGAGGGAAACAACCCAGACCGCCAGCUAAGGUCCCAAAGUCAUGGUUAAGUGGGAAACGAUGUGGGAAGGCCCAGACAGCCAGGAUGUUGGCUUAGAAGCAGCCAUCAUUUAAAGAAAGCGUAAUAGCUCACUGGUCGAGUCGGCCUGCGCGGAAGAUGUAACGGGGCUAAACCAUGCACCGAAGCUGCGGCAGCGACGCUUAUGCGUUGUUGGGUAGGGGAGCGUUCUGUAAGCCUGUGAAGGUGUGCUGUGAGGCAUGCUGGAGGUAUCAGAAGUGCGAAUGCUGACAUAAGUAACGAUAAAGCGGGUGAAAAGCCCGCUCGCCGGAAGACCAAGGGUUCCUGUCCAACGUUAAUCGGGGCAGGGUGAGUCGACCCCUAAGGCGAGGCCGAAAGGCGUAGUCGAUGGGAAACAGGUUAAUAUUCCUGUACUUGGUGUUACUGCGAAGGGGGGACGGAGAAGGCUAUGUUGGCCGGGCGACGGUUGUCCCGGUUUAAGCGUGUAGGCUGGUUUUCCAGGCAAAUCCGGAAAAUCAAGGCUGAGGCGUGAUGACGAGGCACUACGGUGCUGAAGCAACAAAUGCCCUGCUUCCAGGAAAAGCCUCUAAGCAUCAGGUAACAUCAAAUCGUACCCCAAACCGACACAGGUGGUCAGGUAGAGAAUACCAAGGCGCUUGAGAGAACUCGGGUGAAGGAACUAGGCAAAAUGGUGCCGUAACUUCGGGAGAAGGCACGCUGAUAUGUAGGUGAAGUCCCUCGCGGAUGGAGCUGAAAUCAGUCGAAGAUACCAGCUGGCUGCAACUGUUUAUUAAAAACACAGCACUGUGCAAACACGAAAGUGGACGUAUACGGUGUGACGCCUGCCCGGUGCCGGAAGGUUAAUUGAUGGGGUCAGCGCAAGCGAAGCUCUUGAUCGAAGCCCCGGUAAACGGCGGCCGUAACUAUAACGGUCCUAAGGUAGCGAAAUUCCUUGUCGGGUAAGUUCCGACCUGCACGAAUGGCGUAAUGAUGGCCAGGCUGUCUCCACCCGAGACUCAGUGAAAUUGAACUCGCUGUGAAGAUGCAGUGUACCCGCGGCAAGACGGAAAGACCCCGUGAACCUUUACUAUAGCUUGACACUGAACAUUGAGCCUUGAUGUGUAGGAUAGGUGGGAGGCUUGGAAGUGUGGACGCCAGUCUGCAUGGAGCCGACCUUGAAAUACCACCCUUUAAUGUUUGAUGUUCUAACGUUGACCCGUAAUCC
This 1920-nucleotide ribosomal RNA is filed under the name Escherichia coli. Its description in RNAcentral is "partial 23S ribosomal RNA". It matches the Rfam family "Bacterial large subunit ribosomal RNA", at positions 333 to 2241 of the family's 2925-position model. Lineage: Bacteria; Pseudomonadati; Pseudomonadota; Gammaproteobacteria; Enterobacterales; Enterobacteriaceae. The record is from RNAcentral.